RNAcentral lists this ribosomal RNA (497 nucleotides) under uncultured bacterium. Its description in RNAcentral is "partial 16S ribosomal RNA". It matches the Rfam family "Bacterial small subunit ribosomal RNA", at positions 28 to 507 of the family's 1533-position model. The record is from RNAcentral.
GAUGAACGCUGGCGGCGUGCCUAAUACAUGCAAGUCGAGCGAACAGACGAGGAGCUUGCUCCUCUGACGUUAGCGGCGGACGGGUGAGUAACACGUGGAUAACCUACCUAUAAGACUGGGAUAACUUCGGGAAACCGGAGCUAAUACCGGAUAAUAUAUUGCACCGCAUGGUUCAAUAGUGAAAUACGGCUUUUCUGUAACUUAUAGAUGGAUCCGCGCCGCAUUAGCUAGUUGGUAAGGUAACGGCUUACCACGGCAACGAUGCGUAGCCGACCUGAGGGGGUGGUCGGCCACACUGGAGCUGGGACACGGUCCAGACUCCUACGGGAGGCAGCAGUAGGGAAUCUUACGCAAUGGGCGAAAGCCUGACGGAGCAACGCCGCGUGAGUGAUGAAGGUCUUCGGAUCGUAAAACUCUGUUAUUAGGGAAGAACAAAUGUGUAAGUAACUAUGCACGUCUUGACGGUACCUAAUCAGAAAGCCACGGCUAACUACGUG